CUUAAUUUUACAUUUUUGUAAAUGUUUUUGUAAUUUUGUUAUUUACUUUUGUUAUUAUUUAAUGUUUCUUUUAAAAAUAUUAUUAUUGAUAUUGUUAUAAAUAUGACUAUAUUUGUUCAGUGUAUUAUUAGUGUGUUUUCAUUUUCAAUUUUUGCUUAAUUUUCAGUAUUUUCAUUUAAUUUUCUAAUUCUUUAAAAAAGUAUUACUGUUUAAGUUUAAAUUUUCUUUUCUUUAUUAUGAUUUGUUUUGUUUUCUUUUAUUUUUCAGUUAGUAAUUUUCAUGCUUCAACUUCAUCUUUAUUUCAAUUAGCACCAAUGUUUUUAAUGGUUUUAGUUAAUAAUAGUCCUGUAUUUGUCACAUGGAUGUUUCCUUUGUCACUGUUUUCCCUCCACUUGUUUGUUUCCUUGAUUAGCAGUUGCUCCACACCUGUUUCAGUUCUUCCUGAUUACCUUCCUCGUGCAUUUAAACCCCGUGUCUUCCUCAGGUCUAGGUCUGCUAUUGUUCUGUUCUCCCUGUGGAUUUAUUAAAGCCUCUAAUCGACUCUGAAGAUGCCGUCCGUUCACAGACGUGUGGCUCUAAUCAAACAUGUUUCUCUGGGAAGAAUGAGUGCUGUCUGGACGCAGUGGACUCUGCAGCACACAUGCUCAGAAAAAGACAGUCAUGCGGGUUUGGAACGGGACGAGGGUGAGAAACUGUACAUGAACAAUACACCCAUAAACAAACAUGGUAAAGCUGGACGGAAAGUAUUGGACCAGUACAAACACAUUGUGACAGCGCAGGAAAUAUUAACACUCGCAGACGGCCAAGAGUCCAGCACCAGAGGGGAAGGGCGGCCUUCGUUCUCCUCGUUUAGUCUGGAGGAUCUUCAACAUCGCUCCGGAGAGAUUACUCGACUUCAAAUGUAAAAUACUUGUAGUGUGUGUAACGUCUCACACAAACCAGUUUGUGCUUCCUGUAGGGAAAAACAGGAAGGAAACCUGGAGAGUUUAUUGUCCCCAGGUGACUCUUUUUUUCUGUCCUUCAUGCAUUUGUUUCUGUUCCUCUGUUCCAGAAUGACUUUAACAGUCCAAGAGUUCAGAAGAAUCAUGUUUUCAAAACUAAGUUAUACAAUUUAUACAUUUUAU
This 1124-nucleotide long non-coding RNA is filed under the name Carassius auratus (goldfish). RNAcentral's name for it is "lncRNA (ENSCARG00000044703.1)". The record is from RNAcentral. Lineage: Eukaryota; Metazoa; Chordata; Actinopteri; Cypriniformes; Cyprinidae.